Molecule: ribosomal RNA, 354 nt
Filed under: uncultured bacterium
Lineage: Bacteria
Description: bacterial SSU rRNA
Rfam family: Bacterial small subunit ribosomal RNA
Source: RNAcentral
UCGGAAGAAUGCAGAAGAUGCGACCGUGCCUUCGGGAACCGUAAGACAGGUGCUGCAUGGCUGUCGUCAGCUCGUGUUGUGAAAUGUUGGGUUAAGUCCCGCAACGAGCGCAACCCUUAUCCUUAGUUGCCAGCACGUAAUGGUGGGAACUCUAGGGAGACUGCCGGUGAUAAACCGGAGGAAGGUGGGGACGACGUCAAGUCAUCAUGGCCCUUACGAGUAGGGCUACACACGUGCUACAAUGGUAUGUACAGAGGGAGGCAAGCUGGCGACAGUGAGCGGAUCUCAUAAAGCAUAUCGUAGUCCGGAUUGGAGUCUGCAACUCGACUCCAUGAAGUCGGAAUCGCUAGUAAU